UUGAAGAAAGGUAGACAGAUAG
RNAcentral lists this microRNA (22 nucleotides) under Populus trichocarpa (black cottonwood). RNAcentral's name for it is "ptc-miR7825". The record is from miRBase by way of RNAcentral. Lineage: Eukaryota; Viridiplantae; Streptophyta; Magnoliopsida; Malpighiales; Salicaceae.